UACGUAGGGGGCAAGCGUUGUCCGGAAUCACUGGGCGUAAAGGGCGCGUAGGCGGCGGUUCAAGUCGGGGGUGAGAGCCUGUGGCUCAACCACAGAAUGGCCUUCGAUACUGGACGGCUGGAGACCGGAAGAGGUGAGUGGAACUGCGAGUGUAGAGGUGAAAUUCGUAGAUAUUCGCAAGAACACCAGUGGCGAAGGCGGCUCACUGGUCCGGGUCUGACGCUGAGGCGCGAAAGCGUGGGGAGCAAACAGG
RNAcentral lists this ribosomal RNA (253 nucleotides) under uncultured bacterium. RNAcentral's name for it is "partial 16S ribosomal RNA". It matches the Rfam family "Bacterial small subunit ribosomal RNA", at positions 524 to 776 of the family's 1533-position model. The record is from RNAcentral.